UUCCUAGCUCAGCUGGUAGAGCAAAAGACUUUUAAUCUCAGGGUCGUGGGUUUGAAACCCAAGUUGGGCAAAA
Non-coding RNA from Podarcis lilfordi (Lilford's wall lizard), 73 nucleotides. The record is from the annotation of a GenBank genome assembly. NCBI's taxonomy places the organism in Eukaryota, Metazoa, Chordata, Lepidosauria, Squamata, Lacertidae.